RNAcentral lists this ribosomal RNA (1396 nucleotides) under Streptococcus thermophilus. RNAcentral describes it as "bacterial SSU rRNA". It matches the Rfam family "Bacterial small subunit ribosomal RNA". Lineage: Bacteria; Bacillati; Bacillota; Bacilli; Lactobacillales; Streptococcaceae. The record is from RNAcentral.
GCAAGUAGAACGCUGAAGAGAGGAGCUUGCUCUUCUUGGAUGAGUUGCGAACGGGUGAGUAACGCGUAGGUAACCUGCCUUGUAGCGGGGGAUAACUAUUGGAAACGAUAGCUAAUACCGCAUAACAAUGGAUGACACAUGUCAUUUAUUUGAAAGGGGCAAUUGCUCCACUACAAGAUGGACCUGCGUUGUAUUAGCUAGUAGGUGAGGUAAUGGCUCACCUAGGCGACGAUACAUAGCCGACCUGAGAGGGUGAUCGGCCACACUGGGACUGAGACACGGCCCAGACUCCUACGGGAGGCAGCAGUAGGGAAUCUUCGGCAAUGGGGGCAACCCUGACCGAGCAACGCCGCGUGAGUGAAGAAGGUUUUCGGAUCGUAAAGCUCUGUUGUAAGUCAAGAACGGGUGUGAGAGUGGAAAGUUCACACUGUGACGGUAGCUUACCAGAAAGGGACGGCUAACUACGUGCCAGCAGCCGCGGUAAUACGUAGGUCCCGAGCGUUGUCCGGAUUUAUUGGGCGUAAAGCGAGCGCAGGCGGUUUGAUAAGUCUGAAGUUAAAGGCUGUGGCUCAACCAUAGUUCGCUUUGGAAACUGUCAAACUUGAGUGCAGAAGGGGAGAGUGGAAUUCCAUGUGUAGCGGUGAAAUGCGUAGAUAUAUGGAGGAACACCGGUGGCGAAAGCGGCUCUCUGGUCUGUAACUGACGCUGAGGCUCGAAAGCGUGGGGAGCGAACAGGAUUAGAUACCCUGGUAGUCCACGCCGUAAACGAUGAGUGCUAGGUGUUGGAUCCUUUCCGGGAUUCAGUGCCGCAGCUAACGCAUUAAGCACUCCGCCUGGGGAGUACGACCGCAAGGUUGAAACUCAAAGGAAUUGACGGGGGCCCGCACAAGCGGUGGAGCAUGUGGUUUAAUUCGAAGCAACGCGAAGAACCUUACCAGGUCUUGACAUCCCGAUGCUAUUUCUAGAGAUAGAAAGUUACUUCGGUACAUCGGUGACAGGUGGUGCAUGGUUGUCGUCAGCUCGUGUCGUGAGAUGUUGGGUUAAGUCCCGCAACGAGCGCAACCCCUAUUGUUAGUUGCCAUCAUUCAGUUGGGCACUCUAGCGAGACUGCCGGUAAUAAACCGGAGGAAGGUGGGGAUGACGUCAAAUCAUCAUGCCCCUUAUGACCUGGGCUACACACGUGCUACAAUGGUUGGUACAACGAGUUGCGAGUCGGUGACGGCGAGCUAAUCUCUUAAAGCCAAUCUCAGUUCGGAUUGUAGGCUGCAACUCGCCUACAUGAAGUCGGAAUCGCUAGUAAUCGCGGAUCAGCACGCCGCGGUGAAUACGUUCCCGGGCCUUGUACACACCGCCCGUCACACCACGAGAGUUUGUAACACCCGAAGUCGGUGAGGUA